RNAcentral lists this ribosomal RNA (503 nucleotides) under uncultured bacterium. Its description in RNAcentral is "bacterial SSU rRNA". It matches the Rfam family "Bacterial small subunit ribosomal RNA", at positions 107 to 607 of the family's 1533-position model. The record is from RNAcentral.
UGAGGAAAACGUCGGAAUCUGCCUAUUUGUGGGGGAUAACGUAGGGAAACUUACGCUAAUACCGCAUACGACCUACGGGUGAAAGUGGGGGACCGCAAGGCCUCACGCAGAUAGAUGAGCCGACGUCGGAUUAGCUAGUUGGCGGGGUAAAGGCCCACCAAGGCGACGAUCCGUAGCUGGUCUGAGAGGAUGAUCAGCCACACUGGAACUGAGACACGGUCCAGACUCCUACGGGAGGCAGCAGUGGGGAAUAUUGGACAAUGGGCGCAAGCCUGAUCCAGCCAUGCCGCGUGUGUGAAGAAGGCCUUCGGGUUGUAAAGCACUUUUGUCCGGAAAGAAAAGCUUAGGGUUAAUAACCUUGAGUCAUGACGGUACCGGAAGAAUAAGCACCGGCUAACUUCGUGCCAGCAGCCGCGGUAAUACGAAGGGUGCAAGCGUUACUCGGAAUUACUGGGCGUAAAGCGUGCGUAGUGGUUUGUUAAGUCUGAUGUGAAAGCCCUGGG